UAUGUAUGUGUCUCCAGGGGCCUGUACCAUAAAGUCGGAUUAGCUGGCUAGCCAGGUAAGUUUCAGUUUAGUUUGCACCAAUUUUGGGUUUUAGGUA
Molecule: long non-coding RNA, 97 nt
Organism: Sinocyclocheilus rhinocerous
Lineage: Eukaryota; Metazoa; Chordata; Actinopteri; Cypriniformes; Cyprinidae
Exons: 3
Source: RefSeq, a predicted model, not a curated record